RNAcentral lists this long non-coding RNA (331 nucleotides) under Phoenix dactylifera (date palm). Its description in RNAcentral is "long non-coding RNA (PDAC_LNC017583)". The record is from RNAcentral. Lineage: Eukaryota; Viridiplantae; Streptophyta; Magnoliopsida; Arecales; Arecaceae.
AUAAGAAGUGGAGAAUCUAUACCCUCUACUUACCUAACAGAGGGACGAGGGCUCUCUCUCUCCACUUCACCACCGGAUACUGUAUGGAAAAAAACUAAAGAUUUCUUAUCCCGAACUUAGGACAAGUAUCCGGGCAAUUGUUCGAAUACUUCUCCUGUUGUUCUGUUUCCUUUCCUCCCUUUCCUUAAAGCUGAAAUUCCGGGAAACCGGAUUUCAGAGUAUAGGAAUAUUCUCCCUGAGGGGGACGAGGCCGUAGGCCGAAGGGGGGUAAGAAUAUCCUAUAAAAGAUAGGAAGGGGAGGGGGUUCGGGGGAGGGGAAACCUUCCCUUCC